AAAAACCAAACAUUUUGUAAGGUAUUUUCUGACUUUAUUGAACAGAUAGAGAGAGAGGAUGACAGUUAUGAAAGAUAGAGGUUGUGCCAAAGGGCAGUAGGCCAGAUUCAAAACUAUGCCUAGAACGUAUAAGACAACAUACCACAAUUUCUUAUUGUUGUGAGAAAUAUCAAAAUGUAAUAUGAUUUAAUAUCAAUUAUUUAAUUACUCUUCUUAAUACAUGAAGAAAGGUUUGAAUGAGAGACGUGAAAACACAGCUGUGGCUGGAGCAGCAACUUACUUUACUGUGUAAACAUUACAGAACAUGUUUGCUGAUUGACAGUGAUCGUUGAUGUCUGGCUUUGUCUUAGAAUUGAUUGCCUUGAAAGCCUGUCACAUGCAAAAAAAGGGUUAUCACCCAACCAUGAUUGUCAUGUAAGUUCUGUCUCUCAAGUCCUUCUGUGAUGUUUCCUACCAUGUGUGAAUUGUCUUCCAUCCUGAAAAGAUGACAGGCAAACUACACCUCCUCCUGGUCUUGCUGGGCCUCUGUAGGAUAUAUGGUCAGAGUCUGGAGGACAUUCCCUCCAGUCCAGUCCUGAAAAAGCCUGCAGAACCUCUCAGCCUCUCCUGUAAGGGAUCUGGCUUUACCUUUAGUAGCUACAACAUGGCCUGGAUACGUCAACCUGCGGGAAGAGCACUUGAAUGGAUAGGCAUUAUAUGGAAUGAUGCUAGUGGAACUGUAUAUGCAAAAAGUGUUGAAGGAUGGAUAUAAGUCACCAGAGAGAAUUCUAACAGCGUGGUGUAUCUGAAGCUGUCUGGUCUGAGAACAGAGGACUCUGCUGUGUAUUACUGUGCAAGAGAGACACAGUGGUGUGAGUGGAGGAUCUGUACAAAAACCCCUCAGAGAAUCUAACUGGCAGCAUAGUCAACAGAGGGCAGAAGAGCAUCAGUACAGCACAGUCAACAGAGAGCAGUAGAGCAUCAGUACAGUACAGUCAACAGAGGGCAGUAGAGCAUCAGUAGAGCACAGUCAACAGAGGGCAGUAGAGCACAGUCAACAGAGGGCAGUAGAGCAUCAGUACAGCACAGUCAACAGAGGGCAGUAGAGCAUCAGUACAGCACAGUCAACAGAGGGCAGUAGAGCAUCAGUACAGCACAGUCAACAGAGGGCAGUAGAGCAUCAGUACAGCACAGUCAACAGAGGGCAGUAGAGCAUCAGUACAGCACAGUCAACAGAGGGCAGUAGAGCAUCAGUACAGCACAGUCAGCAGAGGGCAGAAGAGCAUCAGUACAGCACAGUCAACAGAGGGCAGUAGAGCGUCAGUACAGCACAGUCAACAGAGGGCAGAAGAGCAUCAGUACAGUACAGUCAACAGGGGGCAGUAUAGCAUCAGUACAGCACAGUCAGCAGAGGGCAGUAGAGCAUCAGUACAGCACAGUCAACAGAGGGCAGUAGAGCAUCAGUACAGCAGAGGGCAGAAGAGCAUCAGUACAGCACAGUCAACAGAGGGCAGAAGAGCAUCAGUACAGCACAGUCAACAGAGGGCAGUAGAGCAUCAGUACAGCACAGUCAAAAGAGGGCAGUAGAGCAUCAAUUUCCUGAAAACUAAAGCAACCAGUAAACCAUCAACUGAACUACUAUUAACAUGAGCAUUGUCCUAUAGGCAAGAGUAGAAAGUUAGAAGUUAGAAAAAUGUAUGAAAGUUUCACUCCACAAUAUAUACUGAUGCAUUGUUUGACAUUACAAAAUGCAGAUUUAAGAACCACAAUGUGGACCACUCAGAGUUUUUGGACGUUGUAGGUAAUCAUAUACAAACAUAGUACAGUAUGUAAUUUGGUAUCAGCUAUAAUACAUUAUAAAACGGGUUGUUUGGAUCCUGAAUGCUCAUUGGACAAGAAGCGUUCCAAGCCGUGCUGUGUUGGCCGUCACAGACAUACCAAUGCCCAUCUGAAAAUGUUCCAUCUGAAAAUGAUCACUGCACCUCCAUAAGAAUAUCAUGUUCAUGUUGCUGUCCGAAUCAUCUCUUGUAUUUAUCUCAACUCGCACAAUAUUUCCCCUUGCUUCUAGCCCAACAUUUAGUUUGGUAUAGCGGGGGUUAAUAUAAGCCUAGCUGUCUGCCUAGCAGACCUCUGAAGAUUUCUUUCACUUUUGAAAUGUAAAUUCCCCUGUAGAGAGAAUGCAUCAACCAAUGGUUGUGUGCCACGUCAUCGACUGUGUCAUCGACAGUCGAUGAGUCGAUGAGAUCCUAUGAGAUCCUAUUAAAUCACUAGUUCCUAAUUCUAUAUAGAUUUCUAUAACAUACAAUGUGGUUAGCUGAUAGGUAAAAUACCUAUUCAGGUUCUGUAAUAUUCGACAGGCGUCAGCAACGCCUGGGCUAUCACUUCGUGCUAAACAACGUCAGUAACCUGUGACUGUAUUCAGCACAUAACACGGCCUCUUGUACCUUACUGCUUAAUUACAUCAUCAAAACACAUGUAUGCAGAAACAAAACCAAGUACAGGCUAUGUGAGGUGUUGAAUCUCAUUAAACUGUGUUCAUUCAUGACAGAAAGUAGACAUGUAAAAGGACCUAUUUUUGUUUAUUAUUGAUUUUUCUUAACUGCCUCAUUGGAAACAUGUCCUUUGAAAACUACUAUACUGUUUUUGUCACCCAUGACCUUAAUGGAAACACUUUUCAAUACAUUAUUUCCUUGGGAAAUGGAUGUCUCUACAGUAUAUACCAUUUAAAUGAACUCUGUUCCUGGUGAGGUCAUGUGAUAAAGGACAACUCCUGGCCCUACCUAUGAGCCCUAAAUUGACCACUGACCUCAUUCAUCAGCCCCUCCCCCAUGACAUCAUGAUGUAAAUUCAGAUCCCUCAGAGUUCAUAUAUACUUAUGUUCUGCUGCUGACUUGUUGUCUUGUGUGGAGCAGCUGAGUUCAUAUCUCCACCCUCAGUAUGACAGGAAAACUCUCCCUACUACUGCUCUUUCUCUGUCUGCCCUGUCAGUUCUACUGUACUUAAUCAGCUGCUAUUAGUGAAAUUCGUGAACAUGGACAAUGGAUUUUUAAAACACUCUUAUCUUGCCUUCAAUUUUCUGUUUUCCUUUUUUUCUCUAGCACUUCAUUUUCUUUCUCUCUCUCCAUCUGGUUUCAAUGGCCGGAGUCGGGAGUCCAUUCCCUCCAGUUAAGUCCAGAAAAAGCCUGGAGAAACUCAGUCUCUCCUGUAAGGGAUCUGGGUAAACCUUUAGUAGCUACAACCCAGGUUGGAUAAGACAAACUGCAAGGAAAGCAUUGGAAUGGAUAGGUUACUCUGGAUUAGGCCUAGGUAACCAUGAACUUUUAGCAUUGUUACCUAGGCCUGGAAACGCCUAACGAUAAUUCCAACAGCAUUAUGACUCUGAAGCUUUCUGUUCUGAGAACAGGACUGCUGUGUAUUACUGUGUAAGAGAGACAGUGGUGUGAGUGUGUGGAGUAUCUGUACAAAAUGUCUCAGACAAUCUAACUGGCAGCAGAGUCAACAGAGGGCAGUAGAGCAUCAGUACAACAGAGUCAACAGGGCAGUAGAGCAUCAGAACAACAGAGUAACAUCUACUGAAGCAUAAUAUUCCCCUAAGAGCCAAAACAACAGAACUACUUCAACACAAGGUACAUAUUUCCCUGAGGAGAGAGAUAGAAAAUAAAGAGGAAUCACAUACAGGCCUACAUACUCUAUUUGUGUUUAUUCCUGUUAAACAAGGUGACUGUCCUUGAUAGAUUGAUCCCUAAUCUGACAUUUAUAGUAAAUUAACCACAAUGGGGAAUUAUUUCUAUAAAUACUCAGAAAACCAUCCUCCAAGAUUCCCUGCAGUUUUACCAAACACCUUGACCAGAUCAGGAAAAACUCUAGGCCCUGAUUAUGACAUGGGGACAGAGUUUAUCCGUGUCAUUUGACAUGUCAUGUUAUCAAUGAAAACUCCUGGCCCCACCAAUGAGUCAUAGCUUGACCCCUGACCUCAGAGUUAUCAGUCCCUCCCCCAUGACAUCAUGAUGUAAAUCCAGAUCCCUCAGAAUUCAUACAGUGCCUUGCGAAAGUAUUCGGCCCCCUUGAACUUUGCGACCUUUUGCCACAUUUCAGGCUUCAAACAUAAAGAUAUAAAACUGUAUUUUUUUGUGAAGAAUCAACAACAAGUGGGACACAAUCAUGAAGUGGAACGACAUUUAUUGGAUAUUUCAAACUUUUUGAACAAAUCAAAAACUGAAAAAUUGGGCGUGCAAAAUUAUUCAGCCCCCUUAAGUUAAUACUUUGUAGCGCCACCUUUUGCUUCGAUUACAGCUGUAAGUCGCUUGGGGUAUGUCUCUAUCAGUUUUGCACAUCGAGAGACUGACAUUUUUUCCCAUUCCUCCUUGCAAAACAGCUCGAGCUCAGUGAGGUUGGAUGGAGAGCAUUUGUGAACAGCAGUUUUCAGUUCUUUCCACAGAUUCUCGAUUGGAUUCAGGUCUGGACUUUGACUUGGCCAUUCUAACACCUGGAUAUGUUUAUUUUUGAACCAUUCCAUUGUAGAUUUUGCUUUAUGUUUUGGAUCAUUGUCUUGUUGGAAGACAAAUCUCCGUCCCAGUCUCAGGUCUUUUGCAGACUCCAUCAGGUUUUCUUCCAGAAUGGUCCUGUAUUUGGCUCCAUCCAUCUUCCCAUCAAUUUUAACCAUCUUCCCUGUCCUUGCUGAAGAAAAGCAGGCCCAAACCAUGAUGCUGCCACCACCAUGUUUGACAGUGGGGAUGGUGUGGUCAGGGUGAUGAGCUGUGUUGCUUUUACACCAAACAUAACGUUUUGCAUUGUUGCCAAAAAGUUCAAUUUUGGUUUCAUCUGACCAGAGCACCUUCUUCCACAUGUUUGGUGUGUCUCCCAGGUGGCUUGUGGUAAACUUUAAACGACACUUUUUAUGGAUAUCUUUAAGAAAUGUCUUUCUUCUUGCCACUCUUCCAUAAAGGCCAGAUUUGUGCAAUAUACGACUGAUUGUUGUCCUAUGGACAGAGUCUCCCACCUCAGCUGUAGAUCUCUGCAGUUCAUCCAGAGUGAUCAUGGGCCUCUUGGCUGCAUCUCUGAUCAGUCUUCUCCUUGUAUGAGCUGAAAGUUUAGAGGGACGGCCAGGUCUUGGUAGAUUUGCAGUGGUCUGAUACUCCUUCCAUUUCAAUAUUAUCGCUUGCACAGUGCUCCUUGGGAUGUUUAAAGCUUGGGAAAUCUUUUUGUAUCCAAAUCCGGCUUCAAACUUCUUCACAACAGUAUCUCGGACCUGCCUGGUGUGUUCCUUGUUCUUCAUGAGGCUCUCUGCGCUUUUAAUGGACCUCUGAGACUAUCACAGUGCAGGUGCAUUUAUACGGAGACUUGAUUACACACAGGUGGAUUGUAUUUAUCAUCAUUAGUCAUAUACUUAUGUUCUGCUGCUGUCUUGUUGUCUUGUAUGAAGCAGCUGAGUUCUUAUCUCCACCCUCAGUAUGACGGGAAAACUCCCUUCUGCUGCUCUCUCUCUGUCUGACCUGUGAGUUCUGCUUGGUUUUACUCCUUAUCAUCUGUUCUUCAUCUGAGCAAUGACUGAAGACAAUUUUAUUUCUCCAUUGUUUUCACUCAAUAUUCCACCCUCUCUCCUUUCUCCUCUCCCCCUGUUUCCUCUCUAUCCUUCUCUCCUUCAGGUUUAGAUGGUCAAACUAUGGAAUCCAUUCCCUCCAGUCCACUCCAGAAAAAGCCAGGAGAAACUCUCAACAUCUCUUGCAGAGGAACUGGGUAUACCUUUACAAGCUAUGGUAUGAACUGGAUUCGCCAACCUACAGGGAAACCAUUGGAAUGGAUGGGCUGGAUCAACACCAAUACUGGAGCAGUGGGCUAUGCCAAAUCCCUGGAGGGACUGAUUGAACUGACCAAAGACAGCUCAGUGAGCAUGACACAUCAGAAACUGUCUGGUCUGAAGGCAGAGGACUCUGCUGUGUAUUACUGUGCACGCUGGACACAGUGAUGUGAAUGUGUGGUGGAUCUGUACAAAAAACCCUCCGACAUGGAUAGAUACAGGAUGUGAAACAUGUACACACUGUUGUUCUCCCCUGACACACUUCACUAACCCUCCUCUGUAAACAGCUGGGGUAAACAACCAUAUGCUUUAAUAUGAGAUGUCCUUACCUUAGAAACUCUGUCUAUGCUUCAUGAAGAGGGCCUUGAGUUUUUCUUGAUAUUCUUUUGAGGAGGGUUAGAAAAAUAAGACAAUAAACAUGCACAGGUCA
Long non-coding RNA from Oncorhynchus kisutch (coho salmon), 6206 nucleotides. RefSeq lists it as uncharacterized. Lineage: Eukaryota; Metazoa; Chordata; Actinopteri; Salmoniformes; Salmonidae. The transcript is spliced from 2 exons. The record is from RefSeq and is a predicted model, not a curated record.